GAUGAACGCUGGCGGCGUGCCUAAUACAUGCAAGUCGAGCGAACGGACGAGAAGCUUGCUUCUCUGAUGUUAUCGCCGGUCGGGUCCGUAACACGUGGAUAACAUACCUCUCAGACUGGGAUACUUUCGGGAAACCGGAGCUACUACCGGAUAAUAUUUUGACUCGCAUGGUUCACACGUGAAAGACGCUCUUGCUUUCACUUAUAGAUUGAUCAGGGCUGCAUUAGCUAGUUGGUUAGGUAACGGCUUAGCAACGCAACGAUGCAUAGACGACCUGAGAGGGUGAUCGGCCACACGGGAUCAGAGACACGGUACAGACACCGACGGGAGGCAGCAGUAGGGAAUCUUCCGCGAUGCACGAGAGCCUGACAGAGGAAAGUCGCGUGAGGGAUGAAGGACUUAUGAUCGUAAAGCGCUGUAAGUAGGAAAGAACAAAUGUGCAAGUAACUGGGCACAUCUUGACAGUACCGAAACAGAAAGCCACGGCUAACUACGUG
Molecule: ribosomal RNA, 497 nt
Filed under: uncultured bacterium
Lineage: Bacteria
Description: partial 16S ribosomal RNA
Rfam family: Bacterial small subunit ribosomal RNA
Source: RNAcentral